This 465-nucleotide ribosomal RNA is filed under the name Vreelandella stevensii. RNAcentral's name for it is "partial 16S ribosomal RNA". It matches the Rfam family "Bacterial small subunit ribosomal RNA", at positions 338 to 795 of the family's 1533-position model. The record is from RNAcentral. Lineage: Bacteria; Pseudomonadati; Pseudomonadota; Gammaproteobacteria; Oceanospirillales; Halomonadaceae.
CCUACGGGGGGCAGCAGUGGGGAAUAUUGGACAAUGGGGGCAACCCUGAUCCAGCCAUGCCGCGUGUGUGAAGAAGGCCCUCGGGUUGUAAAGCACUUUCAGUGAGGAAGAACGCCUGGUGGUUAAUACCCAUCAGGAAAGACAUCACUCACAGAAGAAGCACCGGCUAACUCCGUGCCAGCGGCCGCGGUAAUACGGAGGGUGCGAGCGUUAAUCGGAAUUACUGGGCGUAAAGCGCGCGUAGGUGGCUUGAUAAGCCGGUUGUGAAAGCCCCGGGCUCAACCUGGGAACGGCAUCCGGAACUGUCAAGCUAGAGUGCAGGAGAGGAAGGUAGAAUUCCCGGUGUAGCGGUGAAAUGCGUAGAGAUCGGGAGGAAUACCAGUGGCGAAGGCGGCCUUCUGGACUGACACUGACACUGAGGUGCGAAAGCGUGGGUAGCAAACAGGAUUAGAUACCCUUGUAGUC